This is a long non-coding RNA of Hibiscus syriacus, 2640 nucleotides long. RefSeq lists it as uncharacterized. Lineage: Eukaryota; Viridiplantae; Streptophyta; Magnoliopsida; Malvales; Malvaceae. The record is from RefSeq and is a predicted model, not a curated record. The transcript is spliced from 15 exons.
UUGACUUUUUUUCUUCCUUUUUUUCAAUUCUUGGCUUGAUUUUUUUUAUAGUGACAGUGAAUGAUUUUCGUUUCUUUUUGAAAGUAAUCGUGGUAGACGAGGAUGAUUGGGAUGCUGAACAAAUGCUGGAUCUUUACUGGCACGAUUACUUGGUGAAGAAGAAUAUGCACGGGACAGCUGAACUAUUUAGACAAUAGGCCGGUAUUUCUCACUGUUCAGUUGUGAUUGAUUCUCCCCAAGGGCUCCUUCAAGAAUGAUGGUCGAUGUUUUAUGACAUAUAUUUCUCUAGGCAAACAAAGCUUCAAGGGCACUCUGAGGCAGAAACCUCUAUUGAGGCUGAAAAAAUGGAAGAUCAAUCACAGAAUCUCGGUCCAAUGUUUUUGCCGCAAUUGAUGAUAAAUUGGCAAAUGGCUAGACAGGUUCCUAUUCCCAGAUACUCUGAUUCCAGUAAUCUAUUACUUGAAAUUAAUCAAGUAAGGCUCCCCAACUCAUUUGCAGCCAGUUAAAGUCUUCUGCAACGACAGAUGACUCUCACUCAGCAUCAAGAACAAAUUCAAGGCAGCAAUUUGGGAAUUACCUUUCCUAUUAAUUCAGUCACCCCCUAUGGGGCACAAAAAGGCAAACUUCCUAUAACUUCGCCUCAUGAUGCAGGCUUGAUCAAAUCAAUGGACCCAGCACCACUGAAUGGAUGGCCUUUUGAUGCCCCAAACUAUCAGCAACAAAUUCAUAUAUUGAAUUGUCAGCCAGAGAGAUUAGAUGAGGGGCGACCACUUAUGCACAAAAACCUGACACCUACUUUUCCCGGAAGCUCUGCCAAGUUAAGUUAUCAUAAUCUGAUAAUUCCUAAGCAGGAAAUAAUUGAGAAUAACAGACCUGUCAGUUGAAGCGGUAACAUAAAUUUUUGGGCAUCAAUUGUUGUCUUUUUAUUUCUGUAAAGAUCAUAUAUAUUCUGCAUCUAUUGGAUUUGUAACUAGAUACCCUCUGUAAGAUGCUAUGACCCAUGAUGAUAUGUAUGUUAUCAACUCUCUCCAUUAAAUACUCAUAAAUUAAAAAGAGAUCUUAUAGUAGGGAUCGGAUGCAGCUUAUAUGCUUGUGUUUAUUGGUUUCACUUGUUGGAAGCUCUUUCACUCUCAUUUGAGGGGGGAACUAUCAUGAUUCUUUUCUCAUUAGUGGCUGAUUGCUGAUGAACCAGAUGACAAUCCAAACAGCACAAAUGGAGCAUCAAAACCAUUAUAAUUUGCUGCAGCAACUGCAGGAUAAUAUCAAGGCUGAGGAGUAUAAACCCGUUGAUGAUACUGUUGAUUCUUUUCUGUCCCAUGAUGAUGAUGUUGUUGAUAACCCAAGCACUCCUUUCAAGAUUUUAAGGCACCGUUCUAGCUGGCUUAAUAAAACGUGAACAUGAAGGCUUCACAUUUGAAGAAGUUAGUUGCCUCCACUCGAGCAAAAGCAAAGUCUUGAGCUGCCAUUUUUCAUCAGAUGGGAAGUUUCUAGGGAGUGCAGAGGAUAAAAAGAAGGUGGUGCUAAGGUCUUGAUAUGGAAUCUGGAAACCCUUGAUUUUGUUAGAACUUCGGAGGGCCAUUCUCUACUCAUUACUGAUGUUCGUUUUAGACAAAGUUCAACCAUAUUUGCAACAUCUUCUUUUGACAAAACUGUCCAAAUAUGGGAUUCUGACAAACCAAGAAAAUCACUUUUCAAGCUUGUGGGGCAUGCUGAACAGGUUUUGUCAUUGGAUUUCCACCCUAGAAAGGUGGAUCUUCUUUGUUCCUGUGAUAGCAAUAACGAGAUGCGAUUAUGGAAUAUCAACCAACGUACUUGCAUUAAUGUCUCUAAGGCACCUACUAAAUAAGUCCGAUUCCAGCCGGGACUAGGAAAGUUAAUUGCAACUGCAUCGGGGAAUGUUGUCAAUGUUAUUGAUGUUGAGACUAACAAGCCUCAAUUCUGUUUGAAGGGGCAUGACAAAGAUGUACUUUCAAUUUGCUGGGAUCCAUGUGGCAAGUAUAUUGCCUCCAUCAGUGAAGACAGUGCACGAGUGUGGUCAGUAUCCGGGGGAGAAUGGUUGCAUGACUUGUUCUCAACAGGCAACAAGUUCCAGUCCUGCACAUUUCAUCCUACGUACUCACAACUCUUGGUCAUUGGUGGCUACCAGUAUAUUGAAUAUGGAAUCCAAUUGAGACCAACAAAACAUUGACAGUUGAAGCACACAAGGGACUUAUUUCUUCAGUUGCGGAUUGUCUACAGACUGAAAUUAUCGCUUCCACAAGCCAUGACCAGUUCGUUAAGCUAUGGAAGUAAACAUCCUUCUCCAUGAUUACUCAUGCAUCUAUUUGUACAUGCAGAUCAUUUCUCAGAACAAGAAACUAAUGACAACUCGGGUAAAGAGUCGAGAUAAGUACCGGGCCGAAGAUUGCCCGCUUAGUGGUGAAGUUAAUAGAAGUAUAGGUAUACUCGCAUGAAAUCUUAACUACAGGCUAGAAGUUAUACAACCAAAGUAUAAAAUGAGGGCUUUUAGUUUCUCUUUUCUUGUCGACUGCACUUCCGGACUUGGAUCCUCCUGUUUUUACAUGGGAAAUAGAGGAGUAAAGUUAAAACUGCUUAAUUCUGUGAGAAUAAUGAAGCUUUAUGUGGGAAAGGUUUCGGGAU